Mugil cephalus (flathead mullet) is the source of this 1481-nucleotide long non-coding RNA. RefSeq lists it as uncharacterized. The record is from RefSeq and is a predicted model, not a curated record. The transcript is spliced from 3 exons. Lineage: Eukaryota; Metazoa; Chordata; Actinopteri; Mugiliformes; Mugilidae.
GUGGAAGUGAGGGAUUAGUUACAACAACAGGCUGAGACACACUGCUUAAGGAAAAUGGACACAAUACACCCAGGACAGGACUGCAUGGACUAAGAGAGGGAGAAUGAGGUCUUGACCUUACCUCUCCUGUCACUGUCACUGACCAGCAGUGUUUUAAGACCAUGACCCACAAGACCAAUGGUUGGUCAUUGACCAGCACCAGGCCAUUGAUCCUAUCAAGUUCCAUCAGCAUACGCGUGCACCUGGCCUACUGGAACUCAUCCAUAGAAAUAUGCUACCGAAAUGUUUCUUGAUGUAUACUUGGUCAUUCUCUGUUGUAAAGGAGACCUUUUCCAGAUACGAGUUGUUUGUGGCAAACUAAAUCAAGCCAGUGAAGGCAGUGAACAGGAAUAAACAUUGGUUUCUUAGAUGAAAAAUUAAUGAUGAGGGACAAGAAUAAUGCGUUUUCCAAGUAAUUUAGCCUAAAAAUCUCUUCAUUUCAUUUUAAUCCCUGUAAUAUUAUGGAAUGAGUCAUCUUGUCUUUAAUCUGCAAAGGGAGAAAAAUAAAUCAUAGGUCAUAUUUAACUCCUACAACAUAUAUAUAUUUUUUUUGUUGUUGCUUUGUUUUUGUUACCAGUGUUAAAGUCGUCAUCUACUGGAAGCCCAAAUAGUUAGAUAAUGAUGCUAGCAAUGCAGAAUCAAUGUUAACUGCAAGGAAACUAUUAUCUGAGAUCUAAGAUAAGUACAGAUAGAAAUGAACUGUAUCUGUUCUGUGAACUGUAAAAGAAAGUAUUUGAACUGGAUUUCUUUCCGGAGAGGGUGUGAGCUGAAUUUAACAUUGCUCUGGUCGGUGACUUCAAUCCAGUCUGGGGCAUAUGUGGGUCAUUUUUCUCCCCAACUCCAGUUCAUGUUCACUGCAACGGUCGUUUAAUUGAAGCCACAGUUUUAUAUUUUAAAGUGAUUAUGUUCCCCCUCCUCUCUUGCAUUUUCCAUUGUGAAAUUCAGCCUGUGAAGUGAAAAAGGAGGCAUAAUGGAUGUGUGUGCUUAUCAGAAUGGUUUAUCAAAAUUAGAGUAAGCUAUUCACUGUAUAAUCACUGUUUAACAAUUCAUUUAAGAUAGUUAGGACAAUGUUCUGUUAAGAUGGAUAUUUUUUAUUUUACCGUUUUACGUUUGAGAGUGUGAUGGACGUUUCAUUUUUGUAUUUCAUACUGAACAAUACAAUUUUUUUGCACUGUUUAUCAAUACUUAAUGAAGGGUUUUACAAGAUUAUGUUUGUUAUCAUGCACAAUGGCAAUCCGUGUCGUGAGACUAGAAGCCUCACCCUUAGGAAACCUACUUACUUUCAGCUGCACACAACAGCGCAACAUCUCAACCCACAAAUCACGUCCCAUACCUCGAGCAUAAUGUUAGAUUAUACCAGAUCUGAAGCAUCGCUUUUAUUUCUUCUUAUGAUUGCUUUGCAUAUUCAUGGAAAUUGAUUCACAUCCUGUUUUGGUUUGUGC